This 244-nucleotide ribosomal RNA is filed under the name uncultured bacterium. RNAcentral's name for it is "partial 16S ribosomal RNA". It matches the Rfam family "Bacterial small subunit ribosomal RNA", at positions 524 to 768 of the family's 1533-position model. The record is from RNAcentral.
UACGAAGGGGGCUAGCGUUGCUCGGAAUCACUGGGCGUAAAGGGUGCGUAGGCGGGUUUUAAGUCAGAGGUGAAAUCCUGGAGCUCAACUCCAGAACUGCCUUUGAUACUGAAAGUCUUGAGUAUGGGAGAGGUGAGUGGAACUGCGAGUGUAGAGGUGAAAUUCGUAGAUAUUCGCAAGAACACCAGUGGCGAAGGCGGCUCACUGGCCCAUUACUGACGCUGAGGCACGAAAGCGUGGGGAG